This 458-nucleotide long non-coding RNA is filed under the name Salvia miltiorrhiza (redroot sage). RNAcentral's name for it is "long non-coding RNA (SMIL_LNC003148)". Lineage: Eukaryota; Viridiplantae; Streptophyta; Magnoliopsida; Lamiales; Lamiaceae. The record is from RNAcentral.
UCGACGACAGCCCUUACUGAUUUUCUUUGAAGCAAAACAAAAUCUGUGGAACCCAAGCCGACGGCACAUCGAACCGGAACCGCGGUGACAUCGCUGGGUUCAGGAAGAGAGAGAUAAUUAGGGCUCGGUACGAUUUUGAGGUUGGGAGUUUGAGAAAAUGAGAAGGAUUGAGUGAAGAGGAUGAGAGAGGGAAGGGCUGCACCUCGCCGACCCUCCACUAGCGGCGGCGAUUCGCCGGAGGAGCAGCUAGGGCACGAUUUUGUGAGUAAAUUUGGGGCUUUGUGUCUUCUUCAUAAGAAUUGAGAGAUGGGGGAUUGAGAGGGAGACGAGGGAAGUGUGACGAGCUUGGUGGCUGUCGUUGCUGCGGCCGCGGAGGACAGAGGGAGGGCGUGUUUCUAUGGCCGGAGUUGAGAGAGAGAGAAAGCUGGGGGAUGAGGGACGAGAUAGAGAGUAGGGGG